This 240-nucleotide unclassified non-coding RNA is filed under the name soil metagenome. RNAcentral's name for it is "partial contains 5.8S ribosomal RNA, internal transcribed spacer 2, and large subunit ribosomal RNA". The record is from RNAcentral.
AACAAGGCGUACCUGCGGACCUGCGGAGGGAUCAUUACGAGAGUGUCACCACUCCCAACCCAUUGUUUACCUACCCGUCCACCGUGCUUCGGCAGGCAGCCCUGUGGGACAGGGCCCCGCCUCCCCUCGCGGGGGGUGCCUGCCGCUGGCCAACCAAAAUUCUAGCUGUUUUUGUAACAUCUGAGUCUUCCACAAAUAAACAAAACUUUUAACAACGGAUCUCAGAUCGGAAGAGCACAC